GAUGAACGCUGGCGGCGUGCUUAAUACAUGCAAGUCGAGCGAAGCACCUUGGACAGAAUCCUUCGGGAGGAAGACCAUUGUGACUGAGUGGCGGACGGGUGAGUAACGCGUGGGUAACCUGCCUUGUACAGGGGGAUAACAGUUGGAAACGACUGCUAAUACCGCAUAAGCGCACAGUACCGCAUGGUACGGUGUGAAAAACUCCGGUGGUACAAGAUGGACCCGCGUCUGAUUAGCUGGUUGGUGAGGUAACGGCCCACCAAGGCGACGAUCAGUAGCCGACUUGAGAGAGUGAUCGGCCACAUUGGGACUGAGACACGGCCCAAACUCCUACGGGAGGCAGCAGUAGGGAAUAUUGCACAAUGGGGGAAACCCUGAUGCAGCGACGCCGCGUGAAGGAAGAAGUAUUUCGGUAUGUAAACUUCUAUCAGCAAGGAAGAAAAUGACGGUACUUGACUAAGAAGCCC
This 467-nucleotide ribosomal RNA is filed under the name uncultured bacterium. Its description in RNAcentral is "bacterial SSU rRNA". It matches the Rfam family "Bacterial small subunit ribosomal RNA", at positions 28 to 493 of the family's 1533-position model. The record is from RNAcentral.